UAGUAAUGCAGUAUUGUGUUGGAAAUUUUGCCAUGUGUUUCACAAGCUACUUAGAGAUGGACACCCCAAUGUUCUGAAGGACUCUCUGCGUUAUAAAAAUGAGCUAAUUGACAUGUGCAGGAUGUGGGGCCACCUUAGCGAAGGCUACGGACAACUUUGCAGCAUUUACCUCAAGCUGCUAAAUACAAAAAUGGAGUUUCACACAAAGAAUCCACGUUUCCCUGGUAACCUGCAGAUGACGGACAGACAACUAGAUGAGGCUGGAGAGAAU
Molecule: long non-coding RNA, 271 nt
Organism: Bombina bombina (fire-bellied toad)
Lineage: Eukaryota; Metazoa; Chordata; Amphibia; Anura; Bombinatoridae
Exons: 4
Source: RefSeq, a predicted model, not a curated record